GACGAACGCUGGCGGCGUGCUUAACACAUGCAAGUCGAACGGAAAGACCCUGCUUUUGUGGGGUGCUCGAGUGGCGAACGGGUGAGUAACACGUGAGUAACCUGCCCUUGACUUUGGGAUAACUUCAGGAAACUGGGGCUAAUACCGGAUAGGAGCUCCUGCUGCAUGGUGGGGGUUGGAAAGUUUCGGCGGUUGGGGAUGGACUCGCGGCUUAUCAGCUUGUUGGUGGGGUAGUGGCUUACCAAGGCUUUGACGGGUAGCCGGCCUGAGAGGGUGACCGGCCACAUUGGGACUGAGAUACGGCCCAGACUCCUACGGGAGGCAGCAGUGGGGAAUAUUGCACAAUGGGCGGAAGCCUGAUGCAGCAGCGCCGCGUGCGGGAUGACGGCCUUCGGGUUGUAAACCGCUUUCGCCUGUGACGAAGCGUGAGUGACGGUAAUGGGUAAAGAAGCACCGGCUAACUACGUG
This 468-nucleotide ribosomal RNA is filed under the name uncultured bacterium. RNAcentral's name for it is "partial 16S ribosomal RNA". It matches the Rfam family "Bacterial small subunit ribosomal RNA", at positions 28 to 507 of the family's 1533-position model. The record is from RNAcentral.